This 500-nucleotide ribosomal RNA is filed under the name uncultured bacterium. RNAcentral describes it as "partial 16S ribosomal RNA". It matches the Rfam family "Bacterial small subunit ribosomal RNA", at positions 30 to 523 of the family's 1533-position model. The record is from RNAcentral.
AUUGAACGCUGGCGGCAUGCCUUACACAUGCAAGUCGAACAGCAGCACGGGAGCAAUCCUGGUGGCGAGUGGCGAACGGGUGAGUAAAGUAUCGGGGCGUGCCCAGUCGUGGGGGAUAACGUAGCGAAAGUUACGCUAAUACCGCAUACGAGCUAUGGAUGAAAGCGGGGGAUCGCAAGACCUCGCGCGAUUUGAGCGGCCGAUAUCAGAUUAGGUAGUUGGUGGGGUAAAGGCUCACCAAGCCGACGAUCUGUAGCUGGUCUGAGAGGACGACCAGCCACACUGGGACUGAGACACGGCCCAGACUCCUACGGGAGGCAGCAGUGGGGAAUUUUGGACAAUGGGCGAAAGCCUGAUCCAGCCAUGCCGCGUGCAGGAUGAAGGCCUUCGGGUUGUAAACUGCUUUUGUACGGAACGAAAAGGUUUGGCCUAAUAAGCUGAGCUCAUGACGGUACCGUAAGAAUAAGCACCGGCUAACUACGUGCCAGCAGCCGCAGUAA